UCAAACUUGGUCAUUUAGAGGAAGUAAAAGUCGUAACAAGGUCUCCGUUGGUGAACCAGCGGAGGGAUCAUUAAAGAGUUUACACAACUCCCAAACCCCUGUGAACCUUACCUCAGUUGCUUCGGCAGUGGUUAAUAGAUAGCGAGUGGCGUCUUUCGGUAAUAUAGCUCCCGCCGUCACCUCGUGAUUCUAGGACCCCACUGCCGGUAGACCAUCAAAUUCAGGUAGAACGAGCAAAUCUGAACUAUAAACUAAAUGAAUUAAAACUUUCAACAACGGAUCUCUUGGUUCUGGCAUCGAUGAAGAACGCAGC
This 313-nucleotide unclassified non-coding RNA is filed under the name uncultured fungus. Its description in RNAcentral is "partial contains small subunit ribosomal RNA, internal transcribed spacer 1, and 5.8S ribosomal RNA". The stretch from base 1 to 73 matches the Rfam family "Eukaryotic small subunit ribosomal RNA", at positions 1759 to 1831 of the family's 1831-position model. The record is from RNAcentral. Lineage: Eukaryota; Fungi.